CGGGACAUGGUGUAAUGGUAACAUGCAGGAUUCGGGUUCCUGAGAUUCUGGGUUCGACUCCCAGUGUCCCGA
Molecule: transfer RNA, 72 nt
Filed under: bacterium
Lineage: Bacteria
Also listed under: 1 other name
Description: tRNA-Pro
Rfam family: tRNA
About the family: Transfer RNA (tRNA) molecules are approximately 80 nucleotides in length.
Source: RNAcentral